RNAcentral lists this ribosomal RNA (253 nucleotides) under uncultured bacterium. Its description in RNAcentral is "partial 16S ribosomal RNA". It matches the Rfam family "Bacterial small subunit ribosomal RNA", at positions 524 to 776 of the family's 1533-position model. The record is from RNAcentral.
UACGUAGGGUGCAAGCGUUAAUCGGAAUUACUGGGCGUAAAGCGUGCGCAGGCGGUUAUGUAAGACAGAUGUGAAAUGCCCGGGCUUAACCUGGGAACUGCAUUUGUGACUGCAUCGCUGGAGUACGGCAGAGGGGGAUGGAAUUCCGCGUGUAGCAGUGAAAUGCGUAGAUAUGCGGAGGAACACCGAUGGCGAAGGCAAUCCCCUGGGCCUGUACUGACGCUCAUGCACGAAAGCGUGGGGAGCAAACAGG